Molecule: non-coding RNA, 70 nt
Organism: Marmota monax (woodchuck)
Lineage: Eukaryota; Metazoa; Chordata; Mammalia; Rodentia; Sciuridae
Source: the annotation of a RefSeq genome assembly
GAGUAUAGCUCAGUGGUAGAGCACCUGCCUGAUAUGCAAGAGGCCCUGGGUUUGAUUCCCAGCACUGCCA